GUUUGAUCCUGGCUCAGAACGAACGCUGGCGGCGUGCCUAACACAUGCAAGUCGAACGGAGGCAGGGAGCUUUGCUCCUUGCUUUAGUGGCGCACGGGUGAGUAAUGCGUAGAUAAUCUACCUGAGGGUCCGGGAUAACAUCUCGAAAGGGGUGCUAAUACCGGAUAAGCCCACGGAGUCUUCGGACUUUGCGGAAAAGGGGGGGACCUUCGGGCCUUCUGUCCUCAGAUGAGUCUACGUACCAUUAGCUAGUUGGUGGGGUAAAGGCCUACCAAGGCGACGAUGGUUAGCUGGUCUGAGAGGAUGAUCAGCCACACUGGAACUGAGACACGGUCCAGACUCCUACGGGAGGCAGCAGUGGGGAAUUUUGCGCAAUGGGGGAAACCCUGACGCAGCAACGCCGCGUGAGUGAUGAAGGCCUUCGGGUCGUAAAGCUCUGUCAGAGGGAAAGAAAUGUGCGAGGGUUAAUACCCCUUGUACUUGACGGUACCCUCAAAGGAAGCACCGGCUAACUCCGUGCCAGCAGCCGCGGUAA
RNAcentral lists this ribosomal RNA (535 nucleotides) under uncultured delta proteobacterium. Its description in RNAcentral is "bacterial SSU rRNA". It matches the Rfam family "Bacterial small subunit ribosomal RNA", at positions 11 to 523 of the family's 1533-position model. Lineage: Bacteria; Deltaproteobacteria. The record is from RNAcentral.